UUGGUGCAAAAGUGAUUGCGGUUUUUGGACAUUACUUUUAAUGGCAAAAACUGCAAUCACUUUCGCACCUACCUAAUA
Molecule: microRNA precursor, 78 nt
Filed under: Aotus nancymaae (Ma's night monkey)
Lineage: Eukaryota; Metazoa; Chordata; Mammalia; Primates; Aotidae
Description: miRNA (ENSANAG00000014556.1)
Source: RNAcentral